AUUGAACGCUGGCGGCAGGCUUAACACAUGCAAGUCGAGCGGUGGCACAGGGGAGCUUGCUCCCUGGGUGACGAGCGGCGGACGGGUGAGUAAUGUCUGGGAAACUGCCUGAUGGAGGGGGAUAACUACUGGAAACGGUAGCUAAUACCGCAUAACGUCGCAAGACCAAAGAGGGGGACCUUCGGGCCUCUUGCCAUCAGAUGUGCCCAGAUGGGAUUAGCUAGUAGGUGGGGUAAUGGCUCACCUAGGCGACGAUCCCUAGCUGGUCUGAGAGGAUGACCAGCCACACUGGAACUGAGACACGGUCCAGACUCCUACGGGAGGCAGCAGUGGGGAAUAUUGCACAAUGGGCGCAAGCCUGAUGCAGCCAUGCCGCGUGUGUGAAGAAGGCCUUCGGGUUGUAAAGCACUUUCAGCGAGGAGGAAGGUGGUGAGCUUAAUACGUUCAUCAAUUGACGUUACUCGCAGAAGAAGCACCGGCUAACUCCGUG
RNAcentral lists this ribosomal RNA (490 nucleotides) under uncultured bacterium. RNAcentral's name for it is "partial 16S ribosomal RNA". It matches the Rfam family "Bacterial small subunit ribosomal RNA", at positions 30 to 507 of the family's 1533-position model. The record is from RNAcentral.